This is a non-coding RNA of Flavobacterium frigoris, 80 nucleotides long. Lineage: Bacteria; Pseudomonadati; Bacteroidota; Flavobacteriia; Flavobacteriales; Flavobacteriaceae. The record is from Rfam.
GCCUAGCCCAGAUAGAAAUGGAAAUCCUUUUACUUUUAUAUUUAAAAAGUAAAAGAUUGCAAUGGAUAGCUGAAAAUAGC